AACCUUACCUACCCUUGACAUCCUCGGAACUUGUCAGAGAUGAUUUGGUGCCUUCGGGAACCGAGUGACAGGUGCUGCAUGGCUGUCGUCAGCUCGUGUCGAGUCCCGUAACGAGCGCAACCCUCGUCCUUAGUUGCCAGCGAGUCAAGUCGGGAACUCUAAGGAGACUGCCGGUGAUAAACCGGAGGAAGGUGGGGAUGAUGUCAAGUCAUCAUGGCCCUUACGGGUAGGGCUACACACGUGCUACAAUGGGCAGUACAAAGGGUUGCCAAGCCGCGAGGUGGAGCUAAUCCCAGAAAACUGCUCGUAGUCCGGAUUGGAGUCUGCAACUCGACUCCAUGAAGUUGGAAUCGCUAGUAAUCGCGAAUCAGCAUGUCGCAUAAU
This 384-nucleotide ribosomal RNA is filed under the name uncultured Coxiella sp. RNAcentral describes it as "bacterial SSU rRNA". It matches the Rfam family "Bacterial small subunit ribosomal RNA", at positions 967 to 1365 of the family's 1533-position model. The record is from RNAcentral. Lineage: Bacteria; Pseudomonadati; Pseudomonadota; Gammaproteobacteria; Legionellales; Coxiellaceae.